Long non-coding RNA from Perognathus longimembris pacificus (Pacific pocket mouse), 1492 nucleotides. RefSeq lists it as uncharacterized. NCBI's taxonomy places the organism in Eukaryota, Metazoa, Chordata, Mammalia, Rodentia, Heteromyidae. The record is from RefSeq and is a predicted model, not a curated record. The transcript is spliced from 3 exons.
AAUAAUAGUCUUUUUUGAUCUUUUUUAACCAGGAUCUCCUAGCUUUGGACAUUCAAUAUAUAUUUGUGAAACUACAAGUAUCUUAUUUUCCCCAUUCACUCUUUGACACAUCUUUAAAGAACGGUACUUUGUAGGGUGGGAAAACGAAUGCAGUAACACACUAGAUAAUUCAUUUUAAUCUUUAUACAAGAUCCUAAUGUUGGCAAGGCAGGAGAGAAUAGCUCUGCCACGACCCUUAUUUAACUUGGGGCGGAUGUGCACAGUCCAAGGGCAGCAAAGUGAUAAAUAGAUUCUGGCAGCGCCUUCUCCCUACCUUGAGUAGUAUUACAGUGUGUCAUUGGAGUGGCUCAUUUAGAACAGGAAGCCAGAGACACUGUGUGGUGUUCUCCCAGGGUAAGCUCACAGAUACCUCAUAGAAGGCUUUGGCACAAGUUGCAAUAGGCACACAGAAAGUGGCUUUAUUUUUAAGGCUCAAAUUCAGCUGAAAGCUUUGCAGGGAAUACAGUGAAGGGAGUGCUGGACUUAGGGUAAAAUAGCUGGUUUAUUCUUGCUUCCACAGUACACAAAAGCCUUACUGAUGAGUCCAGCAGUCAUCUGCUAAUCUUACACCUUAAAAUAAGUAAUAUACACAAGCCCUCAUUAACAUGGAGUCUUCACUCUGAAGGGAAGGGUAUUUGGGAACGUGGAUUUCUAAUUCACACUGAGUUACCCUGUUUCCACACUCUACUGCAAUUCAGUGUAGCUAGUGCAAUUCAGCAAAGAAGCUUUAUCAACAAAAGCAGCCAAAUACCAUGUUUCCAGUGUGAUACUUCAAAAUCACAGCAGUCAGUUCUGUGGUAUACAAUUUUACCUUCUAAGUGGCUGUUUUAGUUUUAGAGUAUAGGGCGUAUGGUGGGGGAAAAUGCCACCUUUGUUUGUAGAUUUUCUGAUUACCUUUUCUCCCAAAUGGAAAAGGCUUACUAGUGAGAUUCCCUUCCCCACUUCCCAUCCAGUAAUAAAAGUAAUCCCGAAUGAUACUAUAAAAAUCCAUACAACAGAGAAAAGAAACAAGAAAGUGAGAAGAUGAACUUUAACCCCAACAUCCAAAGAUGGGCAUUAUUAAAAGGUGGGGUAACUAGUGUAUAUUGUUAGAAAUUGAUAUUUCCCUGACACAAGUACUUGAAAAAUGUGAUACUCUUGCUUUGUAACCUGCCUACUUUAAUGAUGCAUAUUCAUCUUUCUGUGUCAAUCAAUGCUCAUUUUUUUAACAACUGGAUAAGUAGCUAGUAUUUUAAUACUCUUAAGGUCCUAAUACGUUUUGUUUUUAUUUUGACAAUUAAAUUCAUAAGGUUAUUUGAGGGGAGUCAUGUGUUUCAAUAUUGACAUGUGGCCUUUUUCUAAGGAGGGACACUUCUUUGUGGACAUUAAAAUAAACAACCAUUUAUAGCAACAAAAUUCUGCAUAAGCAAAUAUGAGUAUGCACAACAAAAACAAAAAUAAAACCAUUAAAAUG